AUGGAAGCAUCUGAUCCUCAAGAAUGUAGUAAGCCUGCCGAAAGAAUUGUCUCUAGUCCUGAGUUGGAGGCAGAUACAACCGGUAGGGAAUUGAAGGAAAAUCUUGAAGAGCAAAGGGAGCAGUCAAGUGAAGCUUUCUCUGAUAUUAAAUGUAGAAGAGGCAGGCGUAAAGUAAGUUCCAACGACAAUCGAGCAGCAUGUGAACUUAAAAUUGCAUCGCCACAAUCUGCUAAGAACUCCAAGAAAGAAGACAGUGCUUCCAAAAAUGAGAGUUUAACGGAAGUUAUCGAUGUCCCCGAAGACAAACCCAGGAGAGGAAGGCGCAAAACAAGUGCUAGCUCUACAGACACUGAGGCACCUAAAAAUGAUGCAAUGGAGAAUGAAAAUCUGGUAGAUCUUGAGCUUCCUAGUACCAAUCCAAAUGAAGAUAUUGUAGGGUUACCUAACACACUAAUCUCAGACAGUAAACUCAGGAGUGGGCGACGUAAAAUAAGUGUUACCUCAGUUGCACGGUCUUCUGUAACUCAAAAAGUAGACUCUGUAUUGACAAGUUCUAAAGAGCAAAAGAUAAUUCAGCCAGCCUUAGAAUUUUCACCUAGGAGAGGAAGGCGGAAACUAAGCGACCAUCCUAUAGACAGUUUAAGUGGACCUGUAGCUCCAAGUUCAGAGGAGAGUGAUACUAGCAUUGUCAAUUCCAAAAAGGCUAGUCUUGCAGACAUUACCUCCAAGAAUAGUAGACGUAAAACAAGCGUUUCUUUGCUGGAAAAUAACGCACCUGAAUCACAAGAGAUAAGCGACUCAAAAGUACCACAGGAAUGUGAUGUUGAAACUUCAGGGAUAAAACGCCGCAGUGGAAGAACACGGUCAAGUGCCAGUCUUUCUGAUAAUACCCCUGAAAAAAUCGACACAACUCCGUCAAAAAGUGCCACAAAAUCUGAAACAAAUGACCAGCCAGAAUUGAAAGCUCAAAUUGCAGAGACUAAGCUUAGGCGAACAAACAGAAAAAUUAGUUUCACUGAAAAUGUACCUGAACCUUUAGAUGCUCAACAAAGUAUAUCCAGUGAGUUGGAAACUUCUUUGUUAGAAGAUUCUGAUUGCAAAUUGCGCAGCGGAAAAAGAAAAAAUAGUCGUUCUGACAGCCUUUCUUCUGAAAAAAUGGAAUCUCCACAUACUUUCUCUGAUAAUUCAAGCGCUCAGAUUUCCGGAAGAAUGUCAUUAAGAGGAAAACGAACAUCUAGUGGAAGUUCCACCGAUGGAAAAAAUAUUCCCUUAGUAGCUGAACUCCAAACCUCGAAAAGUAAAAAACCAGUAAAAUCUGCUGCAACUGGCGAGGAGAGGCCUAAAAAGGGUAGGCGAAACAAAUUAGAGUCCAUUCACAAGGUAGACAAAAUAGAUGUGAAUAUUUCUGAAGACAAUCUAAUCUCAGAGGGACCGAGAACUCGUCGUCAAUCUUCAGGAAUGCAAUCCGAAAAUUUUAAACCCCUCGUCAACAGGAGAAGGAAAAUGUCUGUCAAAGACAAAUCAGAGUGUCAGGCGAUUGAAACUGUUGUUUUACCAGAAAAGGCAGAAUCAAAGAAGGAUCAGCCACCCACGAAGCUGCGAGGAGAAUUGUCCCAACAAGCUGCUGCUUCAUUGGAAACUCCUUUGAAAUCAACAAUAAAAGAAAUGGAACUGAAAAAUCACAGUGAUGAUGAACCAGCCGGUGUCACUGCCUCUGUUGUGGCGAAACCCUGGUCGUUUGAUAGAAGAAAAUCAAAAACUAGUUCUGAAGUUGAAGAGAGUAAAUCAGAAGUAACCUUCGAUUCAGCUUCAAAAACAAGUGACACUGAAAAUUCUCCAGAAAAAUCGAAACCAGAAGUUGAUUCUGAAGAAUCAAGCUCAGAUUUUGAUGUGUCAUCAGACAGCGAUGACGAGGAAGACUCGGAAGAAACGUUGUCUGCCUCAACAAAUGGGAGUGGCAACUCAGAUCUGGAUAUCUCAUCAGACUCGGACGAUGAAGAAGGUGGCCGAGAUGAAGUCCUUCCUAAAAAACGAGAAGGUUCAAUGUCACCUGAAACCGGAAGUGAUUCCGAUUCCAGCUCUGAAUCAUCUUCGGAGAGUGACGAUGAAAGCCGGGUGUCAAGUCCCGCCUCUCCCAAAAGGACAACUCCCACCAAAGGGGUUGUAACAAAAAAAGAUGAAUCAGAGGAAAAACCAGCCAGUAACACUAAACUGGUGCCCUCAGCUAAGUCCACCACUAACAUCAAAACAGCAUCUCCGUCCAAGUCUGUCAUUAAUACCAGAAUAACAUCCCCUGCCAAAAACAUCCUCAGCACGAGAGUCGAAACUCCAGAGAAACUGAGUCAAAUCAGACUUUCAGUAGAAUCACCUGCCAAACCACCUGAAGAUGAUAGCUCCAAAUCUUUUCGCUUUUACAGCGUCAGCUCUGAUUUGAAUCUCUCUUCAGAAAGUGAUGAAGAGGACAACAAGCCUUCGCAAACCCCAAUUAAAGCUGGCAAGAGUCAAAAUGUAGGGUUGAAUCUAUCAUCAGAGAGCGAAGACUCCUCAUCUGGGAGUGAGGGAGAACCCAGUACAUCGGCAGCGUCCGAGGGAAAAGUGAGCACCUCUAACACAACCGUAGAUGACAGCUCGGUCAACAUGACUGCAGAAAAUGUUUCUGAAACGGCUCUUUCUGCUCAGUUAGAAGAUAUCGUUGAAGAAAAACCAAUAGAGGAUGAUCUUCUGGAAAUCAAGACUUCAAGCUCUGAUCAAGCUAAGGACAGCGAUUCACCUCUCAGUAUUCAAACGAAUGCUGUUGAACCCUACGCCGUCGCUAAGAGCUCAUCAGUGCCAUCUUCUAAUGAAUUACUAACCCAAGUAGUUGACCCAAACCAAGCAGCAGUCCAAAGCAUUUUACAGUUUGCCGAUAAUAGCGAAGAAACUUAUUGCCCCGAAGAGAUGCCCACAGGGCUCAUCACUCCAAGUCAGCCAGCCCCGGAAUUGUCUCACCCUAUCGUUGAGCUGAGUGAAGUUGAAAGAAAGCUUGCAGAGGCCAGUGAAUUAAUUGCAAGUCAGACAUCAUCCCCAUUUGUCGACGCUGUGUAUUUUGGGAGGCAGAAGGAAAUUGUCCCAGGGAAUGCUACAUCCACUCCCGUUACACAUCUUAUCGUUCCUACAGGAGACUAUGAGCUGGACAACGCAGUAAGAUCCAUAACGUUUGACAAUACGUACAGCGAAACAGAUUAUGCCGUUUCAAUGUUGCAUGAAAGCUACAGCAUGGAUUAUUACUCCGCUACUGAGUACCAAACUGCUCCAGAAUUUGGAGAUUCCACAAAUAGCUCCAAAGUUCCACCGCUGAGCGCUCCAUUUGAGCUUGACAAGCAAUUAAUCAACGAAACAUCCGUUGCAGUGUCAGCUCUAGAGUCGGAAGUAUUUAGUAUUGAAGAACCUGUAUUUGAGAUUCCAGUGGUCUCAAGUAUUGACAAAUCUUUGUAUACAAAGAGUCCCGUAUUUAAGUCCUCAGGAGAUACUGCAAAACAGUCUACUGAACCAACCAUAUGCUCAAAAACCGUGGUCUCAGAAUCUUUGGCUUCCAAAACUAUUGAAAGUGAAUCAAAAACUGAUCAUUCAAAAUUAUCCUCUGAGCCAUCAACAAACCUGUUGACUGAGGCAACUGAAAUUUUAGUGGCUAAAACUUUGACUGGAACUGGAAAAGUUGCAAAUGACAGUCAGGUAGUUAUGGGCUCAACAAGCUCCAAAAAGGAUGAAAUUAAUCAGCAGACAUAUGAAGGAGCCGGUAACAAUGAAACGCUACCCGCCAUGAUUUCAACAUUCAUUGUGCCUAUGACUGACCCAGCAACCUUAACAGAACUUAGAGAAAAUCAAAAGUCGGUCACUGAAACAGACACACGAUCUCAGCAGCAGUAUGAUUCAAAAAAGAGGAUUCCUAAAACAGAAGAUCUUGCCAAAUCGGACGUUUUAAAAGAAUCUUCAGCUGACAAAUCAACUUGUGAAGUGGUCAUUAAGAAUUCUACAAAUUGCGCAAAACUCCCUUGCAAAGAUUCACUUUCACAAGAAUUUACACCAGAAGACAAAGGAGCUUCAGCUGUCCCCUCCAUUGCCUCCUCGGGAAGUGAAAUUCUCCAGCCAAAAUUACCAAACACUCCUGUAAUUAUAGCAGAAACUUCAGCAGUUACCCUUUCACCUAAAACUGACACAACUUUGACUCAUGUCAUUGAAUCCCCUGAGAAAUUUCUUCCCAAAAUUUCUCUAGAACAGGCUGUGGCUGCAACUUCGACCGUGUCUCGAAUUCAAUCAAAAUUGGAAGCCGAAAUAACCAAACCUGUAGAAGCAGGCACCAGUUUAGCUGAGUCUCCAAAUAAGUUUUUAUCGAAAAUUUCCUUAGAACAAGCUGUUGCUGCUACCGCAGCUGUAUCUCAUGUGCUCCUUGAAACCGAACCAGAAACUACAAUUUCUUCUGUAGGAACUUCUCAUCUAGGAAUGAAGUCACCUGAAUCUCAAUUUAGAAAAUGUCUGGUGUCAAAUGAAGAUGUGUCGGAAAAAGGUGCGACAAACCCCAAUGAUUCACACCUAACACCCUCCGAAAAUGUUGUGGAAUGUGCGAAUAACAUAGGCUCAUUAGACAUUAUCAAAUCCCUAAAAACAAGCUCUCCAUCUUCAGUUUCGAAAAAUGUAUCAGGUUUCCCAUGUCCCUCUCAACGAGUAAUGGAACUUGAAAUCAGAGAACAAUCAGUCGGCAUAUCUAUCUCUCAGCAGGAAGUCAUCGCGAAAGUUGCAGAGCAGCCAAUUUGUGAACCGGUAUCAGUUUUAGAAUCAUCCUCAAAGACAAAGCAGAGUGAAAUUUCCUUAUCAAAUAUUCCAGAAAGAGAUAUAGAGGCACUGUCAGAAACUCAGUCAAAGAGCAAUGUACGUGAAGAAAUUCAGAAAGAAACGCCUGCAUCAUCCCAACUUCAAUCAGAAAUCAUACUCAACGCAAAUCCUGAGCCAACUGCCGUUUCUUUUGUUGAUCGCCUUGCGCAGCAAAAUCCUGAUAACUGCUCUGUUGAAAUUCAGAAUAAAGUCAUCAGGGAAAGUGUUAGUGAACCAACAACCUCCAGGUCUCAAACAGAGCCGCUAUCCGCAACCAAAAAUGAUAUUAUCGGUAGGUUAAGACCAGAUGUGUCCAACUUAGAUACUGAUUCCUCUUGUGUUGAAUCACCAAAAAACCCUCCCUCAGACUUUCUGUCACAAAGUGACAUGCCCGUCGAAAGUGAAGCAUUACAAACGAUUUUACCUAUUAUAACGAGAAAGGCUCAGCAAAUAGAAAAUUCUUGCCUAAAAGCAAACGUGCUUGCUGAACCUCAGCCAGAUCACUCAGCAACUCUCAGCGAAGUAGGUGCGACCAAAUUGAUCGCUUCAUCAGAACCCAAAGUUUUUGUUGAAAGUCUGACCGAGGAUGCCCCACAAAAAUCGACUGCGGUUACAACUGCAUCAGAAGAAUCCUCACGUGAUUUACAGCCUCCUACAUCAGAAAACCUCGUCAAAUCUCAGCUCAAGUCUGCACCUUUAAUUAGUACUGAAACAAAUGAGACGUCAGCCGCUCUAUCCCAAUCGAGAGAAUUAUCACUUGAAGAAAUUUCAGACACUCCACUGGCCGAAUUCGCCCAUAAGGUGGACAAUAGGACUUUGUCAAAGGAAAGUGUGAUUCUUCCUUCAGUCCUCCAGGAAAAUAUUAUCACUGCCUCUAAACAGUCGUCUAUCACCCAAGAUUGCCAUACUACGAUGCGUUUAGAAUCAAAACUGGGACCCAAUUCAGUAGCCAAAGAAGAAUUAAUGGAACUUCCUGCUGCCGGACCAUCAACAAUAUCGGCACACUUUGCAUCAAGUGCUGAGCUAAAAACAGCAGAAACUUUGCAUCAACUUUUAAAUGCAACUGAACUGCAAGUUGGAAGUAUGGAAAUUGAUCAAUUGUCUAAGAAUGAGAACAAGAACCUAGACCCAGAAAACCCAACCACUAUGGAGCUUGAAAUAGCCAUAAAUGAGCAGUCAUCCACUGAAGUUACUCGGCAUCUUGAGACGAUUGAAAAGAAUGCCAAUGUUGAAUUGGAACCUUCUCAGUCAAGUGUUACUGAGCCUGAAACCCCUCUGCAUUCCGCGAACUUCAAUAUAAAUCAGGCCUCAGUAGAAAUUUCCUGUUGCAAUGCGAAUGUUGAUCAUUCAGAACACUCCUCCGCAGUUAUUAAAGAAUCCUCGAGUGAAAGCACUGCAAACAUCUCAGAAAAUCAGCUGCCAUUGGUUAAUUCAGAUUUAGAGAGUGCGAAGACGAAGAACUUAUCGAUGGAAACUUCCAACCUUGAAGCUAGCACUGAUGAAGAGGAAUUAUUUGUCAACAUUGAAGCAGAAAUUAUGUGUAACAGUAUCACAAAAACCUCUGAAAAUCCGAAGCUCCUCACUACAAACCACUCCAAAUUUGUCGAGCCUGAAUCCACAAAUAUGUUUGAAAAUCCUGUUUGUCUAUCUACAACAAAAGCUGAUGAGAAAUGUGGGAGUGCUCUAGAUGCUGAUAUUCGUGAAGAAACUGAUUUUCCAAAGCCAGAAACCAAAUCGGACACAGGUACUUCCACGGUAUCUAAUUUUGUUGAAAAUCCAUGUUCUUCACCCGAAGAAACACAGGAGUUACUGAAGGAUACUGAGACCAUUGCAAAAACCAACACAUCCCAGAUCAACUCUCAAGCCAAUUACCGAGACGGGAUUACAACGCAUGAUGUGGAUAUUUCUGGAAAAUCUUUCGUAAAGAAACUCAUUGCUCAAAACAUUGAAACGAAUGUCGAAGGAUCCCUUCCUUCAGUACAUGAUGGUGCUGAAAUUGCAUUUUUAGUUUCAGAACCGGCUCAUCGAGAAGUGGAUCUUCAGUCUCCAAUCGUUGUGCGGCAAGAACAAGAUGAUUUUCAGGAAUCAGAUAAGAAUAUUUCUGUCUCUGCUACUUAUUCAGAAUCAUUUAAAGAAACUUCUGAUAUUCAAACAAGUGAGCUCGACUUUUCUUUGAGGUCUCCACAAAAAUCACCGUGUGAAACUUCGUGUACCAAUUCUGACGGUCAAAUAAACCCGAGCGAAGAAUGCCUAAGUAUCCUUUCACAGACUGUCGAACAAUCAGAAUUCAGUGCAAAGACUAGCUCCAGCACUCCUCACUAUGAUCCUAAAAUUGACACUAUCUCUUCAAAUACUUCUCCCGAGCAACGGUAUUCUAAUGUUGAGGAUCGUCUUCCAUUUGAUAUCACAUUCAAUUCCUCUCAAGUCUCGUCACAAGAGCCUCUUUCCGACUCUAAGCAGCCAGUCUUGGAAAGUUUAAUUCAUGAAGCAGUUUUGGAAAAUGAGACUCUUCCUAAGGCUGUCAAAUCAGGUGAAAUGAUGACAGACUUUACUGUGGACUCAGGACCAAUAUCUGGUGAGGAUGUGUCGAUAACCAGACCAUCUAGUGAUUCUAAAAUUGAGCCAUGUACAUUACUUGAUCAGGGAGAGCAAUCCAAAAAUCUGACUUCUAGCCCAAUCGAUAUCCAAAUUGAAUCAGAAUCUGAGCUGAAUAUCCAUGCAGUUCCUAGUCAAGUCCAAACAGAGACUGAUUUGGAAAUAUCUACCGUAGAAACUUCAAGAAAGUUAAAUGAUGAAUCAGAAACAUCAACCGUUCUGAAUGAAGCUCGACAAGAAACUGAGAAGACUGUUUCAACCAACAAUGAUCGCAAUACUCCCAAUCCUGCAUCGAUUAUACCUGAUGAUGCGAAUCAAUUCUCAUCAAAAGCAAGUACCAUUCUCUCUGAAGCUCUAAUCGAACGUAAAACUGAAUCGGACGUUUCUGAGAAUUCAAGCAACAUUUCAUCUUUUGAAAAUCAAGGAAAAAGUCCUUCCGUUGAAAUUUCGGUGUCAUCAAGAACUGAAGUGGACAUCGCAGAAUUCGUAGAAGACACUCACCUAGGAGGUCAAACUGUAUCAUCUCCCAUCGAAAAUUCAUCGAAUGUUGACGGUCAACCGAACAUCUCAGAAGUCCCUACUAACAUUCAGUCGGAAAAUGAAACAGAAGUUUUGCCUUUUACAUCUCAAAUUGAAACCAACUCUGAAUCAAAUUCUACAUUCAUAUCAGAUGAUCAACAGUUGAUAGAGAACUCAGAGUCAACUAUCGGAAAUGUUCAAACCCUUUCAGAAAAAGAGCCGCAAUCAAGACCACAAAUUCCUCUUUCUGAAACUGAGGUAAAACUAGAAAGUGAACUGACAAUCAAUCUCAUUGCAAGUGAUCCUCCAAGGAAAGAUUCAUUGCGAACCACCUCCACCAAAGCUCCGGUCGAAAUAGAGACCUCACCAAACAUAAAUCAGCUUUCCAUUAAUGUCCCAUCAGAAGAACAGACAAAGAAGUCUUCCAAUGACGCUCGAGCUGAAUUACGAAGCGAAUCAGGUUUCUCAGAUACUGGUGUCAUCAAAGGCAACUCUCGACAAAACAAAGAAACAUUUAACAGCACUGAGAUAGUCGCAGAAAGGAAAAAUAAUGAGACGGACAGCUUUGAAAGUUUAAGUAAGACACUGCCUAAAUGCCCUAGAGAAAAGUCUUCAGUGAAAGCUCUAGAUGAAAUUAAGACCGAGUCUAAAGAUUCAAUUAUCUCUAGCAACAUUGUAGCUGAAUGUUCAUCAAAAUGUUCUCUUUUUGAGGUUUCAAAUGUAACGGAAAAAGGAUUAUGUGCCUCCAUGAUGUUCACUCCCAUUCAGCCUGAAAGUAUCGAGCGAACCCGUCUUGUUGAAACUCAAGGGAAGCAGAAGGUGAAGAUGUGUCGUCAAUUGAGAGUCAGAAUCCAUUUGUGA
Molecule: long non-coding RNA, 8823 nt
Filed under: Bemisia tabaci
Lineage: Eukaryota; Metazoa; Arthropoda; Insecta; Hemiptera; Aleyrodidae
Description: lncRNA ENSSSA1NGG009257
Source: RNAcentral